GCUUCGGACUCUAACAAGGGGAUUCUUUGGAGGUCAAAGCUCGCAUUUUUAUCCGCUGGAUCUGCAGGAACGACGACGAUGAUGCCGGCGCAUCCGGGCUCUUCGUCGACCUUCCCGUGCUGGAGGCCGACACUGCCGGCUUCUCCUGGAAUCUCUGUUGCUGCUCAAGGUGUUGCAUCUCCUCCGCGGUCUCCCUCCUCGGCUGCUGCGCCUCCUCCGCGGCUGGGCGCCAGGGCAGUUGGGAAUCAAACGAAGAGGUCAAGGGGAACCACAACGGUGAGACGCGACGCUAAGGAGUAAGACGGCCGGAUCUGGAGCUUAAGGCCCUUCACCGCGCUUGUGUUCGUCAGAUUGCAAGUAAGCCCUGGAGUUGUACAGAGGAGAGGAAGAGGCAGUCACUGAGGGCGUGCUACGUCUACGGGCUCAUCUUCUUCGCCAUCAACCCGCACAGAGUGGAGUGAAAUUGAGGUCUGGGACUACCACGAUUUAUACUGAGCCAAUGAUCUACUGUUGUCACCGUUGAGGAUCUGCUGCUGUUGCUUCUGUUGAGGGCCAAUGAUCUGCUACUGUUGAUGUUGAGGAUCUGUUGCUGUUGCUUCUGUUGAGGGCCAAUGAUUUGCUACUGUGGAUGUUGAGGAUCUGCUGCUGUUGCUUCUAUUGAGGGCCAAUGGUCUGCUGUUGAGGAUCUGCUGCCGAAGGCAAGGAGCUACAGUUGAGGAUCUGCUAGGCAAGGAGCACCGAGCCUGGAGGUGGUCACGCAUGAGAGGAGCUCCUGAUCUUCUCCCCUGGCCCCCGGUGAGCUGGACCUUGCUGGCGACACGGGGAAGAAGGGAGGUGGUUCUGGGCGAGCUUGACCUUGCCGGCGAAGUGCUGCUGGGGCCGGCGGCCGGCGAGGUGCCCUCCUGGGGCCGGCGGCAAGGUUCCUGGAUGAGCAGGAAGCUGGGCAGGGAGGAGGAGAUCCUGGGCGGAGGAAAAUCUGGGCGAGGUGGGCAGGAAGGAGAUCCCGGCGAGGUGGGGGGAGAAGCUGGGCGGCGAGCCGGCGACGCGCUGGGAGGCGAUGCACUUGGCGAAGCGAUCCCGAUGGUUUUUGAAUUUCAAGUUGAUGGAAGGGUAUUGUUGUCCAUUAGCGUUUUUGGGGGGCUGUCAGAAAUCUCCUUCCACGGCCUACAAAAGUGAACGGAGGGAGUACUAUUUUGUCUGGCGGAUAGUGCCGAUGGCAUCAUCCAUGUCUGUCGAAGUGGUGGUCACAUACUGCAGGUAUGCUAGCUCCUCACAAUAAAUACAUAAUUUUAAGUUUGUUACAGUUUAUGGAUGAAACUGGGAAUCACGUUCCACAAGCAUGCCUCAUAGUUAUGCAUAGUUUUUCUGUACAUAUGGUGUGCUGAACUCCUAUUUAAAGACGUUAUCAUUACCCAUCUGAUCCUUCUAUUUGUUAGUUGGUUUCCUGAAUAAAUCAGUUCAGACGAUUAAUUGAUUUGGAGUAGAACA
Molecule: long non-coding RNA, 1488 nt
Organism: Triticum aestivum (bread wheat)
Lineage: Eukaryota; Viridiplantae; Streptophyta; Magnoliopsida; Poales; Poaceae
Exons: 3
Source: RefSeq, a predicted model, not a curated record